UACUCAAGCGAAUUUGAAGCACUAUCACGCAGCAUAAUCAUCGUAUACGCAUGGUCACUAUAUUAUUUAAAAUAUUUUAAUAACGGCUGACUAUUGUUAGUUCCAAUUGAUCAGUCUUGAGUGUAAUGUGUUGAUGAUGAUUAUGAUAAUUAAAUAAAAUCAGGACCACUUUUUAUUGGUGGUUUAUACUGAGUACUGAUGAAUACCGGGAAUUGACGUAAUUUAUCAGCAGUACUAAAAGCACAAACGCGCGCACAAACCUGUAUUAAGUAAAUCCGAGUCCCUAGGAAGUAGGAAGCUAAAAAAAAAUGAGGCCACUGUAAGGUUAACUAAUUCCAAAAGCUACUGAUUACAGCUUUAAACAAUAUUAUUAUUUGUUGAAUAAAUAUAUAAGAGUUACAGUAAUUAUAUAAUUGAAUUUCAACGUCAAUAUAAUUAACGUUUGUAUUUAUUAUUAAUAUUAUUGUUAUUGCUAAUAACGAUAACGAUUAUUGUUGAUUACUAAUUAAUAAAUAAUUGUGUGUAUAAUUUAUGUAAAUAAUUUUGCGCGGUACUUGACUGACAGCUCCCUCGUCACAAAUUUAUACAAUUCUAUCGUCGAGAGUAUAACGCACUACACAACUAUAAUCAUAAACGAAGAGACGAAGAGACCAAAGCAACAAAAAAUCAAAGCACCACAGACCACAGAGUAUGACCCAAGAUGGCCGCCGAUAUUGAAACCUAGCACCCUCCUUUAGCUGUUUCUUACGCUACGGACUUGAGUCAACAUUUUUUCACGCUUUAUUGAGUUUGUAUUUUGCUUUAAACCCUGAGAAUUACGCUGUAGAGGUUGAGGCCCUCUAUCCCUUCUACUAAUUCCUGAUUGGUCGCCUGGGCUGGCUGCGAUGCUGCUGCUGAUCAACCAGACAAUGGAAUUGGAAAUGACAGGAACGCCACCAACGGAAAAAUGAGAACUUGGAAAAUUUUAUACCAAAAUUUCUCUCGCAUGUACUGUGUGGUAGGAUUAUAUACUUUAUAGUACGGGAUUUUAUGGAUUAAGAGCAUGCUUUACCGUUUUAUCAAUACUGUUACACGUGGGAAGCUUUUAGCUGCUCCGUUCUUCAGCGUUUCAUUUAUCAUUAUCGAAAUUCAAGUUUA
Cotesia glomerata is the source of this 1137-nucleotide long non-coding RNA. RefSeq lists it as uncharacterized. Lineage: Eukaryota; Metazoa; Arthropoda; Insecta; Hymenoptera; Braconidae. The transcript is spliced from 2 exons. The record is from RefSeq and is a predicted model, not a curated record.